RNAcentral lists this ribosomal RNA (253 nucleotides) under uncultured bacterium. Its description in RNAcentral is "partial 16S ribosomal RNA". It matches the Rfam family "Bacterial small subunit ribosomal RNA", at positions 524 to 776 of the family's 1533-position model. The record is from RNAcentral.
UACGUAGGGUGCAAGCGUUGUCCGGAAUUAUUGGGCGUAAAGAGCUCGUAGGCGGUCUGUCGCGUCGGCUGUGAAAUCCCGAGGCUCAACCUCGGGUCUGCAGUCGAUACGGGCAAACUAGAGUAUUGCAGGGGAGACUGGAAUUCCUGGUGUAGCGGUGAAAUGCGCAGAUAUCAGGAGGAACACCGGUGGCGAAGGCGGGUCUCUGGGCAACAACUGACGCUGAGGAGCGAAAGCGUGGGGAGCGAACAGG